This 19793-nucleotide long non-coding RNA is filed under the name Daucus carota (carrot). Its description in RNAcentral is "long non-coding RNA (DCAR_LNC002562)". The record is from RNAcentral. Lineage: Eukaryota; Viridiplantae; Streptophyta; Magnoliopsida; Apiales; Apiaceae.
AUUGGAUCAAAUUUCUUGUAUAUAAUCCCAUGUGAAGCAAACACAUGAAUUUAGCUCUAUACAUUUCAGGCCUGGUUCUCAUUUCUAUGUAUACAACUUGGAUAGUUUUAUGAUUAAUAUGCUCGAUAUAAUACCAUGAUCUGAUAUUGCGUUUGUUGGAUGUUUAAUAAAUGUUAUCCAAACUAAUUGCCUCUAGUUGGUAAUGAUGUAAUUCGAUUUUCAUAGGUUGUUUUUGAUAUCAAUAAUCAAAUUUUUUAGAUAUGUGCAACAGAUCACUGUGAAUAUAUACGUAACAGGUCAGUGUGAAGUGUAAUAAGUAUGAGUGAAGUAUAUUUGAAUUUAUAACUCAAAUCCAAUGAUUUUAAUUGCUAAUUUGAGAAUGGAAUGGUACUGUUUAUGUCAAGUGUUCAUUUUCUUCUUAUUUGUGUACAACUUUAAUAACAUGUCAGAAUGCUAUUUAGUAUUAUUCCACCAGUCCAGGAGUAAUUCCUUUUCCUUAAAAUUUUCGAUAACUUCCCGGGGGCGUAGAAGGCUUAUUAAUAUAUAGAUUUUGUUAAGUAUCAACUCAAUAGAAGUAGUCCGGUGUUAAGUAAAUUCCUUGUCAUCAUGUACAUACGGGGUUGUUCCAAAUUGUGCAACAUAGGACUAAAAAGAACUUUUUCUUUGAGCUAAUUACCUUCACGCACAAGGUUCUCUUAUUUGCCAGAAGAAAAUAAUAAGAGUUCCUUGAUGAAAAAUUCCCAUGUCAUAAUCGAUUGCUCCGCUCGUAAGGUUUGAAACCAAAUGUUCAAUCACACUACAACGUUGCAUAUAUAGGUUAGUAAGUUGAGCCCAAAUAAUGUCGGUAUUAAUUAUGACACCCACAAGCGAAACACUAAUCAGGUUACGGAAACCUUCAUAUUUCGGGGGUGGUGUAGGCAUACAGUGACUUAGAUCAGAUGAGUCAAUUCUGAACAUGAAAACAAAUAAGAUGGUAUUUUGUAGGCACUGGAUGUACGAUUAUGAAGUUUCACUUCCUUAACUCCACUGUUUGAUAUGUUUUUAAUCCAAAUAUCUAUAUCUGAAUAGAGAUGAAGAGGCAGAUCAUUAGGAUUGCAAAGAAUAAACUUCAAUAUGAGACCUCCACGAGAUAAAAGAAUACUGCUUCCGGUUAUUGAAAAUUCAUAUAGUUUAGUUUCUCUACUUCUGAAAGGAAACCUUUGAGAAAGCCGGUUGAAGAAGAGGUCAUCAAAAACUAGGUGUGAGUGCAUUUCCCAUUUACCCCUCCAUGUUUUUAAGAGAAUGCUCAUUCUUGCUACACAGUCAACCGGCAAUCACUUUUGAAUUAGGUCUAGUGAGUCACUGGGAAUGUCACUUUUGAAUUAGACCUUCUUCUAAAGUGAUUGCCGGUUGACUGUGUAGACAUUCUCUCAAAAACAUGGAGGGGUAAAUGAGAAAUGCACCAACACCUAGUUUUUGAUGACCUUUUCUUCAACCGGCUUUCUCAGAGGUUUCCUUCCAGAAGUAGAGAAACUAAACUAUAUGAAUUCUCAAGAACCGUCAGCAGUAGUCUUUUAUUUCGUAGUGGUCUAAUAUUGAAGUUUGUUCUUUGCAUUCCUCAUGAUUUGUUUCUUCAUCUCUAUUUAGAUAUAGAUAUUUGGAUGAAAAACAUAACAAACAAUGGAGUUAGGGAAGUGCAACUUCAUAAUCGUACAUUGAGUGCAUACAAAAUACCAUCUUAUUUGUUUUCCUGUUCAGAGUUGACUCAUUUGAUUCUAAGUUGUUGUAUGUUCACACAACCCCGGAAAUUUGAAGACUUCCGUAAUCUGAUUACUGUUUUGCUUGUGGGUGUCAUAAUUACAACUGACAUAACAUUUGGGGCUCAACUUACUGACCUACAUUUGCAACGUUGCAUUGGGAUUGAACAUUUGGGAUGUCAAUAUAAAUAUUAUAUCAAUCUCACUUUUCUGAGUAUCACCCAUUGUGGGGAAAUUGAUGGGCAAUGGUUUGGAUGCACCCGAAAGGUGAUUGAUUCUGUUCUCAUGUUAUAUGGAGCGGCAAAGAGCAUUGUGGAUUUGGAAGAGCUAGUUGACAAUAUGCCUAGAAUCCGUACUCUUCAUCUUGAUGGCUCUUUUCUUAAGGUAAUUAAAGUGAACCUCGUAAUCUCUCGUAAUGAGACUGGUGAGAUCUAAUUCCCGAAAUUCUGUUUUUGUUAUAGUUUUUUCUACUGGGUAUGAAAGACUUGCGGUCCUCUCUGUAAGUGAUAAUCACAUUCCACCCACUCUGGCUUAGAUUCUGCCUUGUUUUUCUUUCACUUAUUCUCCAGCUAUAUUUGUUCCUACUUUCUCUUUAUUAAUCACGUCAUAACAAUGUCCUCAUAUUAUCUGUAAUAGCAUUGUAUUGUAUUGUAUUUGAGUCCUGAUCUCUUUUUGUCGCAAGAGUUAAUGAGGUUCCCCCGAGCAUCCACAACUGCAGAGAUUAUAUGGAAGUAACUAGCCGUAUUGGUAGGUUCGUUUUGGAAGUUAAUGUUGAACCAUAUGAACUCCUUGGGAUUGUUUAUUUUGUGGUUGCAGAAUCAGAGACCCUUUUUGUUGCUCUUGAACGCGAGAUCUUUUUCUGGGUUUAUUAACUUCAAUUUCAAUGACAGCAAAGUUUUUGGUUUAUUUAUUUAUUUAUUUGUUCUGGGUUUUUCUUAAGUUUUUGGUUUAGAUGGCUUUCAUGUUUAGAGUCCCGUAAACUGUAGGCCACAUGUAGUUCUCUAUUUGACAAUCAUAUUUUUGGCGUUACAAGCAUCAGGUCCUUAAGUAACAGGAAGUUCUUAUCUAAAAGCUGAACAUUUUAUAUAUAGACACAAAAUUACACAAAUAUACGGAGAAAACACUCAUUUGAUCUAAAAUAAAUACAAAUAUUAUAAGAUAAAAAAAAUACUAUAUAUACAAUUUGAUAAUAUAGGUGUAACAUAAAUUAUUAUAUACAAUCUCGAGGUUGCGAAGUAGUUAUAACUAAUAUCACUUCUACAUUUUUCCCGAGUCAAAGAAAUACCGUAAGGGAGGUAUCUACUUUCCGCCUGUAUUUUAAAAUAUUUAAUGUAUAUUUAUAAAUUUUAAUCUUCAACUUUUUUUAGAUAAUAUAUUAAUUUAAUAUUUCAAACAAAUAAUGAGAUUUUAACAUAUUUUGCCUACCGGAUCAAACAGUACUUCAAAUAUCUCUAAUUUAUUAGAAACCUUUUUGAUAAAUUUUUACAAAACAAUUUAAAAACUUAUGUUUUUAAAUAAUAAGAUAAGAUAUAAUCAUUAAAAAAAUAUUAUAUAUUCAUUAUUUAGCAGUAAGUAUCUGAAAAUAAAUUUAGCUAAAUCAUGAGUGACAUAUUUUUUUUCUUUUUUCAACGCAAACUCUAAUAAAAAUCGUUAAAACCCUAGCCCAAAAAAAAAAACAAUUAAAUACGAUUUAAUAAAAACUCCUUAAAACCUUAGCCCAACGCAUCUAUGCUAUACUAUUAAAGCCGAAACAUUAAAAGUUUGGUCAGUCGGUACGCGGGCUUUUAUACGGGCUUUUAUAAUUAGCAGGCUUCAAACAAAAUUAGUGGGCUUCAAACAAAAUAUAAACAAAUCAAAAUAUAAAACAAAUAUACGAUCAAAACAUAAAACAAAUAUAAAACCUAUUUGACUAUACCACAACUAAAAUCAAACCUUAAAAAAUAUUAUAUUAUUACAGCCGAAGCAUUAAAAACUGUGUUGAACCUCGGUUACAAAUGUGUUGAAUGCACGAUUUAUUUACACGUUAUUUUUAAAACUUUGAUGUUUUUUCAAUAAUUUUCAAUAUGGGCCUAUCUAUAUACCGAUUAUUCUUUUUAACUAAAAUAUGUUAUUUUUUUUAUAUUUUCUAAUUAAAAAAACUCUAUUAUUUAAAAUAACAUCGAAAAACAUAGUAAUUAUCUUUUUAACUAUAACACAUUAUCAUUUUUAUAUAUUCUGACUAAAAAACAGAUACAAUUAACACGGGCUACAUAUAUCAUAAUUUUAUUCUCACAAUAAUAAUAGUUUACUAUACUAUUAAAGCCGAAACAUUAAAAAUUUGAUCGGUCGGUAGUUGGGCCAAAUUAUGGGCUUACUUAUAUAAUCAAUUAUCUUUUUAACUAAAUCUAUUAUCUUUUUUUGUAUUUUCUAACUAACAAAACUCAAUUUCCAAAAAUAAUAUUGGACAACAUAGCAACUAGUCAACUACCCUUUUUAACUAAAAAAUGUUAAUUUUUCAGAAUCCUAACUUAAAAAUCGAUUUUCCAAAAAUAACACAUGAAACAUUCAUAUAAAAAAGAUAUUAUAUAUCUAGAGAAGUGUUCUGGUACAAACUUACAAAUGUUUUUUGUUCAACACAUACAUAUAACUCGAGUUCAACAUUUUUUAAGAUAUUUUGUUGAACAUUGAUUUAAAUUGUGUUGAAGUAGUACAUAAACUAAUUUCUCAAUGUAAGAACUAAGUUAAACGUAUUAUAUAACCAAUAUUUAUCUUUCUAGACUCUACCCAAACCCCAGAGAUAUAGUUUAACCAUCUUUAUAAAUAUAUUCAACACAAUGAUAAUUAAUGUUCUACACCCAAUGGUGAACCUCGGUUACAAAUGUGUUGAAUGCACGAUUUAUUUACACGUUAUUUUUAAAAACUGUGAUGUUUUUUCAAUAAUUUUCAAUAUGGAUACUUUCGAUAACUAAAUAUUAACACGUUUGGAGAAUAAAAACAUUCAAAAAAAAAAGUUUGUAACUUAAAAAAUAUUUUAUUUGAUCAUAUUCUAUAUAUCUAUAUUAUUAUACUAUUAAAUCCGAAACAUUGAAAGUUUGGUCGGUCAGUACUUGGUCAAAAUACGGGCCUAUCUAUAUACCAAUUAUUCUUUUUAAUUAAAACUAGCUUAUAGCCCGUGCAAGGCACGGGAGCUUUUUAAUUAUUUAUAAACCUUUUAAAUACAUUUUAAAUGGUGUGAAAAAAUUUAAUUUAUAAAUAAUAAAUUAAAAUUGUAUGUAUCAUGCCAAAGUAUUAAAUUAUUAUCAAUUUUUAAAUUAUUUUAAGUAAAAUAUGUGACGCCAACUCUUAUUAGAUUAUAUUUAUAAAUGUCUUUUUAUAUUAGAAUUAUUAUGUGAUUAAAAUAUUUUUUAAAAAAUUUUUAUGGUUCGAGAUUAAAAUUGAUAAACACAGUUUGUUUUGAAUUAAGACGAUGAAUCAUAAACAUGUAAUAAGAUUGUAGAAUUUGUUUUGGAUUAAGAAAAUUUUUUUGUAUUCGUUCCUCACAUAAAUCGGGCUUAUUAAUUUUAGAAUAUAUUAGAUAAAAAUAAUUUUGUGACGACGCGAUUUAUAUGAUUCUACAAAUAAAAUUGGUAGAAAAUAUUUAUUUUCGAUUAAAAAAAAUCAUAAACAGGUGAAAUAUAGAAUUUGUUUUGGAUUCAGAAAAGGAAUUAUAAACAUGGAAUUAUAAACAUGCAAGUAGAUAUCAAUUGUCUUAUGGAACGGAAGUUAAUUUUAUUCUAAUCUAACGGUGCUUAUUUGUUCAAUAUACGAUCCGAUGGAUAAAUCUAAUUUUGUGACGGUGCGAUUUAUACGAUUCUACAAUUAAAAUUUGUAGGAAAUAUUUUUUUUGUAUUAAAAAAAACCAAAAACACAUGAAAGACGGAAUUUGUUUUGGAUUCAGAAAAGGAAUUAUAAACAUGCAAGUAGAUGUCAGUUUCCUUAUAGAACAAAAUUUAAUUUUGUUCUAAUCUAACGAUGCUUAUUUGUUCAAUAUACGAUCCAACGGAUGAUAAGCUUUUGGACCAUAAGACCAUGCGACCAAAUUAUCUCCCUUACGCUUAUUAUAUAUAAGUAUAUAAUAUGUUAUCUUUUUUUAUAUUUUCUAACUAAAAAAACUCCAUCAUUUAAAAUUAUAUGGAGAAACAUAGUAAUUACCUUUUUAACUAAAACACAUUAUCUUUUUUAUAUUUUCUAACUAAAAAACAGAUUUUCUACAAUUAACAUGAGCUACAUAUAUAAAAAUAUAAUAUUAUUAUAUAUAAUUAUUAAUAACUAACCUGUGAUAUUUUUCAACCAAAAUACAUUAACAUUAUUUUUAAAUACACUAAUGGACUCAAUUUAAAAAUAAUAUUAUAAAUCUAUAAUAUACUAUUAUACUGUUAAAUUCGAAACAUGAAAAGUUCAGUUAGUCAGUAGGUCUGUCGAAUUUGGUGAGCCAUGUGGUAUACGACCCACAACGUCUUUAUUUAUAACAUGUUGUAAUAUAUUUUUUAUUAUCAAUUAAAUUACCAAAACAUUUAAGUUAGUAUGAUGGGUCGGUAUUUAGUUUUACGCGUCUUUUUUAACUUAAUAUGUUCCAUACUAUAUUAUAAAGGGGUUUUCUCAUAAAUACCUAAGUCCAAAAUUAUUUUUGCAAAAUUACUACAUUUUUUGGAAAAAUUAUCAAAUUUUUGAAAAUAUUUGCAAAAAUACUGUAUGCAACCUGUUGCCACCACAUGCAACGAUACUUGCAACCAGAUGCAACCAUAUUUGCAACUCCUGGAGGCCAAUUAACUAAAGUUGCACCUGUUUGCAUCUAGCUUCAGACCGUAUUUUUGCAAAUAUUUUCUAAAAAGUUAGUGUUUUUAUAAUUUUCUUAAAAUAUAGUAAAAUCGCAAAAAAAUUUAGAAAAUGUAAUAUUUUUAAUAAAUUCUCUAUUAUUAAUUAUCAAUAACGAAAUAUUAAAAGAUUGAUUGGUUUAUUUAUAUCUGAUUUUAUAGAUCUCUCUAAAUUAUAACAUGAAAAACAAAUGUAUUUUAACAUUCUCUGUAAAAUAUAUAUGUUCGACCUAAUUUUUUAUUAGCCAUUUGACGAAAUUAACUAUUAAGAAUUUAUCAUUUGUUAAAUAUAAAAUUUAUUUAAUCAUAUUAUUCUAUCAUAAUUUUACUCUCAAAAUAAUAUUAGUUUAAGUUAAAAUAUAUACGAUAAAAUUACAAAUAUUAUAACCGCCCGUGCAUUGCACGGGUUAUAAGCUAGUGUAAGUUGUGAAUUAAAUAAUUAAUGUCGUCUCUAAUAAAAUUACUUAAAACUCUAGCCCAAGCCCAUGUAAGCUAUGAAUUAAAUAAUUAAAAGUGCUCUAAUAAAACUCCUUAAAACUCUAACUCAAACUCAUAUAAGCUAUGAAUUAGACAAUUAAACGCGCAUGGCCCAAGCCCAUGUAAUCCGUUCUAAUAAAACUCUUUAAAAUCCUAACCCAAACCCAUAUAAGCUAUAAGCUAUAAAUUAAAUAAUUUAAAGCGCUCUAAUAAAACUCCUUAAAACCCUAGCCCAAGCCCACAUAAGCUUUGAAUUUAAAUAUUAAACGGGGCUACUACAUUUCAAUUCAAACUUGUGAUUUACGCCAUUUUCUCAAAUGCCUGCGGCGGCUACUAUUCUGUAUUUCUGUAUAGUAAACCCUUUUUCUUGAUUAAAAAUCAACCCAUGACGAAGAAGCCUGUGUGGUAAUCUCAUUCUGUUAGUUAUACAUGCAUCAUUUUGUUUUUUACACACACAUAGAGUGAUGAUUUGCUAAAAAGAUUGAAUUUUUCAGGUGGAUGCAUUCACAGAAUCAGCGUUCAAGGGAAACCCAACUGCAGUUCAAUUGGUGGCCACUGAGUUCAAUCUAUCUGAGAGACAUGUUUCUUCACUAGGAUUGACUUGGAUUCGUCUUCACCUCAGAUGGUUCACUCCUGUUGCCGAGGUUCACUUGCUUUUGAUUCUUGUCUUAUUUUUUAGGUUUUUAUGAUUCCCCCGGUGUUGAAUUUUGGACUUGUGUAUUGGGUUUGUGUAAAGAUUUGAUCUUUUUGGUGGUAGUGGUCUUGAAUUGAAUUUGUUUAUUGGUCUUGUGUAGUGGGUUUGUGUAAAGAUUUGAUCUUUUUGGUGUAGCAGUCUUGAAUUUGAUUGGGGCAAAACAAAGUUAAUUUGGACAUUCAAGGGGAAGUAAUAACGAAGAUGUAUGAUAUGCAUGUCAAACCCCUUUGUUGCCAAGGUUCAGUUACUAUUGAGUCUUGUUCAUCGUUUUAGUUUUUCUGAUGCACACACUGGUUUCAUAUUUGAUCCAUUUGGAGCUUGUUCAUUAAUCAUCGCUAUUCUACUUUGUGACGUAGUAUUUUGUGAAUUCAGGCAUCAACUAGAGGUGGCAUCAUAAAAUUACAUUUAGAUGAGAGGAAUCAAAGGGUAAUGCUCCAAAGGAAAGUUGUUAUUGUGAUGGAAGGUUCUCUCCUAGUUUAUAUAUGGAGGUAUUCCUAGAAUCUUGAGAUCAUUAUAUUGUAUCUGUAGCAGUUUACUUAACAAGUUUUUUUACCAUUUACUGCAUAUAUUUUUUGAUGAACAUUGAACACUACUUUCUUAAAUGUGUUGUUGAUAUGCGUUUCGUGCUAAUGAUUAUUGAUAAGUAGUACUUUUAUAGUUCUCUUCGAUAGAUUGCUUGCAAUUAUCUAGUUGAUUAAUUAAUGCAGCGUAUUCAUGUACAGAGUUUGUUAAGUAUCAACUCAGUGGAGGUAGUUAGGUGUUAAAGUAAAUUCCUUGUCAUCAUGUACAUACGUGGUUGUUCAAAUUGUGCAAGAUAGGACUUAAAAGAACUUUUUCUUUGAGCUAAUUACCUGCACCCACAAUGUUCCCUUAAUUGCCAGAAGAAAAACAUAAUAAGAGUUGCUCGAUGAAAAAUUCCCAUGUUAUAACCGAUUGCUUUGCUCGUAAGGUUUGAAACCAAAUGUUCUAUCCUAGUGCAAUGUUGCAUAUAUAGGUCAGUAAGUUGAGCCCCAAAUAAUAUAUGUCAGUAUUAAUUAUGACACCCACAAGCGAAACACUAAUCAGAUUACGGAAACCUUUAUAUUCCGGGGGUGGUGUGGGCAUACCGUGACUAGACUCUGAUGACUCAACUCUGAACAUGAAAACAAAUAAGAUGGUAUUUUGUAGGCACUGGAUGUACGAUUAUGAAGUUCCAGUUCCCUAACUCCAGUGUUUGAUAUGUUUUUAACCCAAAUAUCUAUAUCUGAAUAGAGAUGUAGAGGCAGAUCAUUAGGAAUGCAAAGAAUAAACUCUAAUAUGAGACCAUUACGAGAUAAAAUAAUACUGCUGACGGUUCUUGAAAAUUCAUAUAGUUUAGUUUCUCUACUUCUGAAAGAAAACCUCUGAGAAAGCCGGUUGAAGAAAAGGUCAUCAAAAACUAGGUGUGUGCGCAUUUCCCAUUUACCCCUCCAUCUUUUGAGAGUAUGCUCAUUCUUGUUACACAGUCAACUGGUAAUCGCUUUUGAAUAAGGUCUAGUAAGUCGCUAGGCAUGUCACUGAUAAUAUCAACCGCGUCUUAACAAUCAAGCCGUCUUGUGUUAGCAAUACUAGUCAUAUUUCUGAAUAUUAGAAGAAGUAAGAACCAAACUGAAAAGAUGUACAAACAAUAAUACUAUAAUAUAAAUAUAAUUAAGUAUAUUUGUAGUGGCCAACCGGGUAGUAGCAAUUAAUCAAAUUUAUCGUAGCACAGAAUUUAAAGAACAUUAUAUCCAUAAGAGCCAUAUAUGUAAAUAAUUCAACUAAACCAUUAUCACAUUUGGAAAAAAGUGGCAAAUCAUUUUCGUAUAUAUUAGCGAAAGUUUAACAGUUAAUUAAAACCCCUAAAUCAAAGAUAGAAAAAGAUUAUGUGAGAUCAACAUACAUAAAAACAUUGAUUUAUUCAAAAAGUUGAUUCACACACACACACACAAACAUAUAUUUAAACAUUUAUAUAUUUGAUUCAUGUAUUGGUGGGAGUGAGACAUUAUGAGUGCGGUGGAAUGAGGAAAGAAAUGUGAGGAUUAGUGAUACAACCCUAAUUCUUAAUUAUGUAAUCUAUAUAACGAUGUCGUGUAAUAAGUUGACUGCAAGAUAUUUGCAUAUGCUAAAAAACCGUAUCGUGUGGAACAGAACAUUCUAAAAUGGCUAAACACAACACCGUUUAAGGAUAAUAUUUACAAAUCAAUUCUUUUUUUUUAUUUAUUUCCAUUUUAGGGGCAGUAUGCUGAUACUUGUGUACAGGGAAACAACUAUCAACAUAUGUAGACAUUCCCCUGCCUAAAUAACAACCCUCCUCCAAAAUGGAAAUAAAUAUAAAAAGAAAUGAUUUGUAGAUAUUAUCCUUAAACGAUGUCGUGUUUAGCCAUUCUAGAAUGUUCUUUUUCAUAUGAUGCCGUUUUCUAGCAUAUGCAAAUAUUUUGCAGUCAAAUUAUUACACGACGUCGUUAUAGAGAUUACAUAAUUAAGAAUUAGGGUUGUAUCGCUAAUUCUCACAUUCUUUCUCACUCCGCCGCGCUCAUGUUGUCUCACUCCCAGCAAAGGUAUCAAAUGUUUAUAUAUAUUUAUGUGUGUGUGUGUGUAUUUGAAUCAUUGUUUUUUUUGAAUAUAUCAAUGUCUUUAUGUAUGUUGAUAUCUCACAUAAUAUUUUUUUCCAUUUUUGCUUUAAGGGUUUUAAUUAAUUGUUGAACUUUCGCUAAUAUAUAUGAAAAUGGUUUUGGCACUUUUUUCCAUAUGUGAUAAUGGUUUAGUUGAAUUGUUUACAUACUCGGCUGUGAUGCAUAAAUGUUCAUUAAAUUCAGUACUAUGAUAAGUUUGAUUAAUUGUUACUACCCAGUUGGUCUUUAUAUAUUGUAGCAUUACUGUUUGUAAAAUUCUUUUCAGUUUGGUUCCUACUUCUUUUAAGUAUUCAGAGAUAUGCCCAGUGAUGCUAACACAAGGCGGCUUGAUUGUGGAGACGCAGUUGAUAUUAUCAGUGACCUGCCCAGUGACUUAUUAGACCUUAUUCUAAACCGAUUGCCGGUUGACUGUGUAGCAAGAAUGUGCAUUCUCUAAAAAUCAUGGAGGGGUAAACGGGAAAUGCACCCACACUUAUUUUUUGAUGACCUUCUCUCCAACUGGCUUUCUCGGAGGUUUCCUUCCAGAAGUAGAGAAACUAAACUAUAUAAAUUUUCAAGAACUUUUAUCAGUAUUCUUUUAUCUUGUAGUGGUCUCAUAUUGAAGUUUGUUCUUUGCAUUCCUAAUGAUUUGUUUCUUCAUCUCUAUUCAAAUAUAGAUAUUUGAAUUAAAAACGUAAGAAACAAUGGAGUUAGGGAAGUGCAACUUCAUAAUCGUACAUUGAGUGCCUACAAAAUACCAUCUUAUUUGUUUUCCGGUUCAGAGUUGACUUGUUUAAUUCUAAGUUACUGUAUGCUCACACCACCCCCUAAAAUUGGAGGCUUCCAUAAUUUGAUUAUUGUUUCACUUGUGGGUGUCAUAAUUACUAUUGCCAUAUCAUUUGGGGCUCAACUUAUGGACCUACAUUUACAACGUUCUCAGAUAUUAUUGCGGGAGAAGAUGAUCAUCACCUACCACCUUACAAUCCAAAACAUUAGAUUGCGCAUCGUUUAUCCUCUUUUUCUUCUUAACCAUCUAGUGUUUUAAGACCUAAACGCUAUUUCCUGUAGAUUUUUUCAGGUGGAUGCAUUCACAGAAUCAGCGUUCAAGGGAAACCCAGCUGCAGUUUGUUUGUUAGAAGAGGAAAAAGGUGAGAAAUGGCUACAAUUGGUGGCCACUGAGUUCAAUCUCUCUGAGACAUGUUUCUUGACUAGGAUUGACUUGGAUUCGCCUAAUCCCAGGUUUCAGCUCAGAUGAUUCACUCCUGUUGCUGAGGUUCACUUGCUCUUGAUUCUUGUCUGUGUUUUUUGGGGUUUUAUGAUUCCCCGGGUGUCAAAUUCUGGUCUUGGGUAUUGGGUUUGUGUAAAGAUUUGAUUUUUUUGGUGGUAGCGGUCUUGAAUUGAAUUUGUGUAUUGGGGUUGCUUAAAGAUUUGAUCUCUUUGGUGUUAGCAGUCUUGAAUUUAACAUGGGGCAAAAUAAAGUUGAUUUAGACAUUCAAGCGGACGUAAUAACAAAUAAGUAUGAUAUGCAUAUUAAAUCCCUUUGUUACUGAGGUUCAGUUACUAUUGAGUCUUGUCCAUCUUUUUGGUUUUUGUGAUUCCCCGGAUGUCUAAUUUUGAUCUCGUUAGUAGCUCAUUUAUCUGUGUAUUGGGUUGACGUAAAGAUUUGAUCUUUUUGGUGUUACUGGUCUUGAAUAUGAAUUCGGGCAAAAUAAAGUGUUUUAAAAAAGUUAGUUUGGAGUUUGGACACUCAAGCUGAAUAUUCCCGCAAAGAUGGCUUUUCGAGUAAAUUAAGUAUGAUAUACAUAUUAAACCGCUUUAGUAAUAAUUUAAAAUUCUAGUGGAUUUGGUAACUUAAUAGAUAUUAUGUACUUUCAAUAUGUUAUUGCUUUGCUUAUGGAAUAGGUAAAGCAUGAAUAACCACGUCUUUUCUUAAUUAUGCCAUAUCACUGCUACUUUGUCAGUUGUCAUUUUACUUGAAUGUUGAAUAAAACAUGCAUAAUUAGACUAUGUUUUAUUGGAUAGCCACAGGUGGUGGUUGCUUUAUCUUCCCAUCUGAAACGGGUCUAAGCAAUCAUAUGUGUGAUAGCUAAAACUGAUGAAGAUAGUGGCUUUCUCUAUAUUAAAUUUACCAAUUGCUGGAAAAGUCAUUCGUAGCCGGCUUUUUAUAGUUUACGAAGACUUGCUAGUUUUCAUCUCUAUGCAUGAUGUCUGCUUACAGGUUAAACUUUGUGGCCAUGCAACUUUGGCGGCAUCCCACUUCAUCUUCUCAUCUGGUUUGGUGAAAGUUAAUGUGAUCGAGUUCAUGACACUGUCUGGAGUUUUGACUGCUAGGAGGGUUUCACUGCCUGAAGUUUCUGUAUUAUCACAGUUGAAAAGUGAUGGUUUCUGUAUAGAGUUGGAUUUUCCUGUCGUGCCACUGGUUGAAUAUACUUCUGUUGAGGUGUCAAACAUUUCACAAAGUUUAAAUGGCGCCUCUAUUGUUGACAUCAAGAAAAGGACUACAGAAGAUGACCUCCUUGUAUGUGUUUGGCUUUGCUCUAACAUUUUGUUAAUAUCAUUACCAUGUGGAUACAUUCUUUCUGGAAGUUGUUUAUGAUGGGGCUAACAUAUCUAAACAGUGAAAUGUUAUAUACUAGUGCCAUUGUUUCUUGCUUUGGAAAAGUUAAUAUUUUGUAUUUGAGGAAUGUAAAAGUCAUCUAAAAAUGCAGGUUAUGCUCUCAUCUGGAAAGACUGUUGCAGAAUUACAGCCGAUGUUUGAAAAGAUACAGAAACUUCCUUGCAGAGGAAUGACAGUAACAGCGCUUGCUCCCUCUGAAUCUGGGUUUGACAUAUACAGCCGCUUCUUUUGUCUUAAAUAUGGGAUUAAGGAGGUAAACAUUAAGCUAAAUAUCAGGAUUCAUUUAUAAUUUUCGAAACAUUUGGAGUUUUCUCAUAGUCUUGCUACACUUGGUAUGUGGUAGUCUCUUCAUAACCUGUCUACCUUCCGGAUACAUUCUUGUCUUUCUUUUCCUAUGUGUAGAAUUCGGAUAUUCCAUUUGGCCUCCACCCGCCUUUCAUUAUAGUUCAUUUGCUAGAUUAUUUGUAUAAUGUUGAAUCCAAAACUAAAUUUAAAUUGUCUAUCCUUAGCCUCCUUGCUUCUUAUUGUCUGUGGAUAUACAGGCACGUGCUGUUUUAAGGGUGAAAUUUAGUUGAAUCCGGGUUUUCGAUAGAGGUGCUAGUUUUUAUGUCCUGUCUUCCCCUAUAGACUAUAGUUACAUGCACCAGGUCAAUAACUAAAGAAAGAGCUUAUCUAAAAGUUGAACAUCUGUCCUGAGUGCUGGGACUUGAUACAAUCGGUAACCUCUUUAAUGCGUGCAAUUUUAUUUCAGGAUCCUGUCACAGGCAUUGCACGUUGUGCCUUGGCACCCUUUGGUGCCAAAAGCUGGGAAAAAGUGAUCUUGUUGCAUAUCAGGUUAUUGUUCUUAGUGCUCACUGCUCACUCUCUGCCUAACUCUAUCAAAUGUGUAUGCACACACUGAUUUCAUAUUUGAUCCAUUUGGAGCUUGUUCAUUAAACUCACUAUUCAACUUUGUGAUGUAGUAUUUCGUGAAUUCAGGCAUCAACAAGAGGUGGCUUCAUAAGAUUUCAUCUAGAUGAGAGGAAUCAAAGGGUAAUGCUCCAAGGGAAAGCUGUUACUGUGAUGGAAGGUUCUCUCCUAGUUUAAAUAUGGAGGUAUUCCUAGAAUGCCUAAAAUGAACUGGGAGCUAUUCAUAAUUAAAACAUCAGAAUCUUGAGAUCAUUAUAUUGUGUCUGUAACAGUUUACUUAACAAGUUUUUAUAGCUAUUUCUUGAUGAACACUAUCUUCUUAAAUGUGUUGUUGAUAUGUGUUUCGUGCUAAUGAUUAUUGAUAAGUAGUACUUUUAUAGUUCUCUUAGAUAGAUUGCUUGCAAUUAUCUAGUUGAUUAAUUAUUGCAGUUGUGUUCACUCUUCAGAGUCACUGAAACUAAAUUGAGUUGGUAAUCUGUUUGUUGGCCUGACAAGUAACAUAAGUGAGUAUUUAUGAGUCAUUUUAUUCAACAUGUUCAAUAUAUCUAUUGCGAAGUAUUGUGCAAAGUAUGGAAAAUCGUAAAUAAUACUGGCAAAAUUGUGCCAAUAUUAUUCAGAUCACUUAACUUCACUUAUUACCGAAAGAAAGCCGUUGAUGAUUAUAUUCUUGCCAAGAUUCAUAUAUUUUUGCUGAUUGUAUACUAGUUUUUAGAAUAUGAAUUGAUAUUGAAUUGAUAUUAUAUUUAAUAAUUGGCAUUUCAUUUAAAAUGAUAGUAUAAUUUUGAUUUUGAAUUUGGAAGGUUAAUUUUGAAUAUUUAGAAAUUAUUUCAAGAAUUUAGUCCGAUAGUCCUAUGUAAUAUGUGUCAGUUCCUUUUUGUAUGUAUUAAGACUUAUGUCAAAUGUAAUUAUAAAAGAGUUUUUGUAUUAUUAUAUGUUGGUAGUUAAUUUUUGGGAUAUUUUUAAAAAUACCCAUCUGUAAAAUUAUUUUUUUAAAAAUACUACCAUCUUUUUCAUUGUUUUUAAAAAUACCUUUUCAUAAAUUUUUUUUUUCAAAAAUACGAUUUGCAACCUUUGCAACCUCAUUUGCAACCUUGGGCGGCGCAGCCGUAAAAGUUGCAAAUGAGGUUGCAAAAGUUGCAAAUAAAAAUGGAAAUGAGGUUGCAAAAGUUGCAAAUGAGGUUGCAAAAGUUGCAAAUAAAAAUGGAAAGUUGCAACAGUUGCAACUGCAAUUGCAACUAGUUCAACUGAAAACUGUAAGUUGCAAAAGUUGCAAAUGAGGUUGCAAAAGUUGCAACUGAGGUUGCAAAAGUUGCAACUGCAGUUGCAAAAGUUGCAACCUCAGUUGCAACUAAAUGCAACUGAAAACUGUAAGUAACAACAGAUGUAUGGUGUGCCCCUGGCGGGGCCGGUAGAUUACAAUAGAAUCAACUGAAUGCAACCAUAUGCAACUGAAUACAACCAUAUGCAACCAUAUAUGCAAUUACAAAUCCUGAUUUCAAGUUCCAGUUUUCGAAUGUCGUUUUCGACCUCAUUUUCGGAAUCGAUAUAUAUAUAUAUAUAUAUAUAUCUGUUCUGAUAUAAAGUCACUAUUCUCGUUAAAACUGCCUUUUGGUAGUUCUGAUAUAGUGACUCAAUAACUCAAUGAUUAAAGGCAGAAUUAAAUAGAUACUCUAGAAGCAAUGUAAAACACUUUUAUAUGAACGGUUUCAGAAAAAAGAUUAUUGAAAAUUUAGAUAUAAAACUGCUUUUACUACUCCCUUUGGUCACUAUGAAUGGAAUGUAGUUCCAUUUGGACUUAAAAAUGCCCCUAGUGAAUUCCAGAAUAUCAUGAAUAAUAUAUUUAACCCCUUUAGCCAUUUCUCAAUAGUAUAUGUAGAUGAUGUUCUUAUCUAUUCUAAUUCUAUUGAAGAACAUUGGAAACAUCUGAACUCUUUUUUCAAUACAAUUAAGACUAAUGGUCUAGUACUAUCACCAACUAAAUGUGUCUUAUUUCAGACAAAAGUAAGAUUUUUAGGUCAUACCAUUCAGUAUGGGAAAAUUAGACCAAUAGAUAGAUCAAUUGAAUUUGCUAGUAAAUUCCCAGAUGAAAUACUUGACAAAACCCAACUCCAAAGAUUUCUAGGAUCACUCAACUACAUAGGAGAAUUUUAUAAAGAUCUUAGGAAGCAAUGUAAACCAUUAUUCGAACGAUUGCAAAAUAAUCCCCCGCCUUGGACUUCUAUCCAUACUUCUAUUGUCCAAGAUAUUAAAAAAUAUGUUAAGACUCUUCCCUGUCUUGGCAUUGCUAAUCCUUCUGCAUUUAAAAUAGUAGAAACCGAUGCCUCUGAAGUUGGAUUUGGAGGUAUUCUUAAACAAAAAUUAAACCCUUCUUCACAUGAAGAAAUUGUUUGUUUUCAUUCAGGAGCUUGGGAUCAAACCCAACAAAAUUAUUCAACCAUUAAAAAAGAAAUUUUAAGCCUUGUCUUAUGCAUCAAUAAAUUCCAGCAUGAACUUUUAAAUCAAAAGUUUUUAGUCAGAAUUGAUUGCCAGUCAGCAAAAUUUAUUUUAGAAAAAGAUGUUCAAAAUAUUGCAUCAAAACAGAUUUUUGCCAGAUGGCAGGCUUUAUUAAGCAUAUUUGAUUUUGAUAUACAAUACAUUAAAGGAAGUGAAAAUUCUAUUCCAGAUUUUCUAACUAGAGAAUUUCUACAAACAGGAGUGAAAGAUGAGUGUGAGAGAUAACAAUAGCCAGGUUAUUAUAUAUAUAUAUAUAUAUAUAUCGAUUCCGAAAAUGAGGUCGAAAACGACAUUCGAAAACUGGAACUUGAAAUCAGGAAUUUGGUUGCAUAUGAAGUUGCAAAAGAGGUUGCAACACGGCUGGCGCCGCCUGGAGUUGCAGAUGAGGUUGCAAAAGUUGCAAACAGUAUUUUUGAAAAAAAGAUUUUAUGAAAAGGUAUUUUUAAAAAGAAUUCUGGAAGGUAGUAUUUUUGUAAAUAAUUAAAGAAAAGGUAGGUAGUUUUGUAGAUUUCCCUUAAUUUUUAUAGCUAACAAAUUUCAAAAAUAUAUAUUAUUUGCACAUACAUCUUCAGAACAUAUUACAUAAAUAAGCUGCUCCAGAGCUCUUCAUCCCAAACAUGACGAUGACUAGGAAAGAGAAAAAAAAAUUCCAGUUCACAUUUCGAACCUGCUGGACAAGUAAGUUUUCUUUUAAUUUUCAAACAUGGAUUAACUUCUUAUUCAUUCAUUUACUUUUGUGAUGUAAUUGGAUCAAAUUUUUUGUAUAUAAUCCCAUGUGAAGCAAACACAUGAAUUUAGCUCUAUACAUUUCAGGCCUGGUUCUCAUUUCUAUGUAUACAACUUGGAUAGUUUUAUGAUUAAUAUGCUCGAUAUGAUACCAUGAUUUGAUAUUGCGUUUGUUAAGUGUUUAAUAAAUGUUAUCCAAACUAAUUGCCUCUAGUUGGUCAUGAUGUAAUUCGAUAUUCAUAAGUUGUUUUUGAUAUCAAUAAUCAAAUUUGAGUCGAUAUGUGCAAGAGAUCGCUGUGAAUAUAUGCGUAACAGGUCACUGUGAAAUGUAAUAAGUGUGAGUGAAGUAUGUUUGAAUUUAUAACUCAAAUCCAAUGAUUUUAAUUGCUAAUUUAAGAAUGGAAUGGUACUGUUUAUGUCAAGUGUUCAUUUUCUUCGUAUAUGUGUACAACUUUAAUAACAUGUCUUAAUGCUAUGAAGUAUUAUACUAUUAUUCCACCAAGUCCAAGAGUAAUUCCUUUUCCUUAGAAUUUUCAAUAGCUUCCCGGGGGCGAAGAAGGCUUAUUAAUAUACAGAUUUUGUUAAGUAUCAGCUCAAUAGAAGUAGUCAGGUGUUAAGUAAAUUCCUUGUCAUCAUGUACAUACGGGGUUGUUCCAAAUUGUGCAACAUAGGACUAAACAGAACUUUUCCUUUGAGCUAAUUACCUUCAAGCGCAAGGUUCUCUUAUUUGCCAGAAGAAAAUAAUAAGAGUUCCUCGAUGAAAAAUUCCCAUGUCAUAAUCGAUUGCUCCACUCGUAAUGUUUGAAACCAAAUGUUCAAUCACUCUACAAUGUUGCAUAUAUAGGUUAAGCUGAGCCCAAAUGAUGUCAGUAUUAAUUAUGACACCCACAAGCGAAACACUAAUCAGAUUACAGGAAACCUUCCUAUUUCGGGGGUGGUGUAGGCAUACAGUGACUUAGAUCAGAUGAGUCAAUUUUGAACAUGAAAACAAAUAAGAUGGUAUUUUGUAGGCACUGGAUGUACGAUUAUGAAGUUUCACUUCCCUAACUCCACUGUUUGAUAUGUUUUUAAUCCAAAUAUCUAUAUCUGAAUAGAGAUGAAGUGGCAGAUCAUUAGGAUUGCAAAGAAUAAACUUCAAUAUGAGACCUCCAAGAGAUAAAAGAAUACUGCUGCCGGUUAUUGAAAAUUCAUAUAGUUUAGUUUCUCUACUUCUGAAAGGAAACCUCUGAGAAAACCGGUUGAAGAAAAGGUCAUCAAAAACUAGGUGUGAGUGUAUUUCCCAUUUACCCCUUCAUGUUUUUGAGAGAAUCCUCAUUCUUGCUACACAGUCAACCGGCAAUCACUUUUGAAUUAGGUCUAGUAAGUCACUGGGCAUGUCACUUUUGAAUUAGACCUUAUACCAAAGCGAUUGCCGGUUGACUGUGUAGCGAGAAUGUACAUUCUCUCAAAAACAUGGAGGGGUAAAUGGGAAAUGCACCCACACCUAGUUUUUGAUGACCUUUUUCUUCAACCGGCUUUCUCAGAGGUUUCCUUCCAGAAGUAGAGAAACCAAACUAUAUGAAUUUUGAAGAACCGUCAGCAGUAGUCUUUUAUCUCGUAGUGGUCUCAUAUUGAAGUUUUUUCUUUGCAUUCCUCAUGAUUUGUUUCUUCAUCUCUAUUUAGAUAUAGAUAUUUGGAUUAAAAACAUAACAAACAAUGGAGUUAAGGAAGUGCAACUUCAUAAUCGUACAUUGAGUGCCCACAAAAUACCAUCGUAUUUGUUUUCCUGUUCAGAGUUGACUCGUCUGAUUCUAAGUUGUAUGCUCACACCACCCCGGAAAUUGAAGACUUCCGUAAUCUGAUUACUGUUUUGAUUGUGGGUGUCAUAAUUACAACUGACAUAUCAUUUGGGGCUCAACUUACUGACCUACAUUUGCAAAGUUGCAUUGGGAUUGAACAUUUGAGAAUGGAAAGGCAUUUGUUUAUGUCAAGUGUUCAUUUUCUUCGUAUUUGUGUACAACUUUAAUAACAUGUCUUAAUGCUAUCAAGUAUUAUACUAUUAUUCCACCAAGUACAAGAGUAAUUCCUUUUCCUUAGAAUUUUCGAUGGCUUCCCGGGGGCGUAGAAGGCUUAUUAAUAUACAUAUUUUGUUAAGUAUCAGCUCAAUAGAAGUAGUCAGGUGUUAAGUAGAUUCCUUGUCAUCAUGUACAUACGGGGUUGUUCCAAAUUGUGCAACAUAGGACUCAAAAAAACUUUUUCUUUGAGCUAAUUACCUUCACGCGCAAGGUUCUCUUAUUUGCCAGAAGAAAAUGAUAAGAGUUCCUCGAUGAAAAAUUCCCAUGUCAUAAUCGAUUGCUCCACUCGUAAGGUUUGAAACCAAAUGUUCAAUCACACUACAAAGUUGCAUAUAUAGGUUAGUAAGUUGAGCCCAAAUGAUGUCAGUAUUAAUUAUGACACCCAUAUGCGAAACACUAAUCAGAUUAUAGGAAACCUUCAUAUUUCGGGGGUGGUGUAGGCAUACAGUGACUUAGAUCAGAUGAGUCAAUUUUGAACAUGAAAACAAAUAAGAUGGUAUUUUGUAGGCACUGGAUGUACGAUUAUGAAGUUUCACUUCCCUAACUCCACUGUUUGAUAUGUUUUUAAUCCAAAUAUCUAUAUCUGAAUAGAGAUGAAGUGGCAGAUCAUUAGGAUUGCAAAGAAUAAACUUCAAUAUGAGAC